RNAcentral lists this ribosomal RNA (2064 nucleotides) under human gut metagenome. RNAcentral describes it as "bacterial LSU rRNA". It matches the Rfam family "Bacterial large subunit ribosomal RNA", at positions 816 to 2925 of the family's 2925-position model. The record is from RNAcentral.
UAGCGGAGAAAUUCCAAUCGAACUCGGAGAUAGCUGGUUCUCCUCGAAAUAGCUUUAGGGCUAGCCUUGAUGUAAAGAUAUAUGGGGGUAGAGCACUGAAGGUGCUAGGGGCCUAAACCAGGUUACUGAACACUAUCAAACUCCGAAUACCAUAUAUUAGUAGUCAGGAGUCAGACUGCGGGAGCUAAGUUCCGUGGUCAAAAGGGAAAGAGCCCAGAUCGUCAAUUAAGGUCCCAAAGAUAUAGCUAAGUGGGAAACGAUGUGAAAUUGCGUAAACAACCAGGAUGUUGGCUUAGAAGCAGCCAUACAUUUAAAGAGUGCGUAAUAGCUCACUGGUCGAGUGAAUUUGCGCGGAAAAUUACCGGGGCUAAGCUAUACACCGAAAUUGCGGGUUCAUAAGUAAUUAUGAGCGGUAGAGGAGCAUUCUGUAGUAGGGUGAAGUAUGAUCGAAAGGACAUAUGGACGAGGCAGAAGAGAGAAUGCUGGAAUAAGUAGCGAGAGCAAAGUGAGAAUCUUUGCCGUCGAAAGUCUAAGGUUUCCUGGGGAAGGUUCGUCCGCCCAGGGUAAGUCGGGACCUAAGGUGAGGCCAAGGAGGCGUAGCCGAUGGAUAGCAGGUAUAAAAUUCCUGCACUACCGAAAUACUUAAAAACGAUAAGGGACGCAGGAGAGGAAGGAAAUCCGGGAAGAGGAAAAACCGGAGCCGAAAGGCAUAGUGAAAAUUUAAAGUAACGAAGUUCCAAGAAUCACACUGACGAGAAAAGCUUAUUGACAUUGUAUUAAGGUACCCGUACCGCAAACCGACACAGGUAGAUGAGGAGAGGAUCCUAAGACGAGCGAGAGAAGUACUGUUAAGGAACUCGGCAAACUAACCCCGUAACUUAGGGAGAAGGGGUACCUAUGUAAAAGUAGGUCGCAGAGAAGAGUCCCAAGCAACUGUUUAACAAAAACACAGGUUUCUGCUAAAUCGAAAGAUGAAGUAUAGGAGCUGACGCCUGCCCAGUGCUGGAAGGUUAAGGGAAAGAGUUAGAUGUAAGUCGAAGCUUAGAACUAAAGCCCCAGUGAACGGCGGCCGUAACUAUAACGGUCCUAAGGUAGCGAAAUUCCUUGUCAGGUAAGUUCUGACCCGCACGAAAGGCGUAAUGAUUUGGGCACUGUCUCAACAGCCCGCCCGGCGAAAUUGUAGUACCGGUGAAGAUGCCGGUUACCCGCGACAAGACGGAAAGACCCCAUGGAGCUUUACUGUAGCUUGAUAUUGGGUUUCGGUAAUUUAUGUACAGGAUAGGUGGGAGACUAUGAAGCAAGAGCGUCAGCUUUUGUGGAGUCACCCUUGGGAUACCACCCUUAAAUUAUUGGAAUUCUAACCUGUGAUCAUGAACUGGUCAGGGGACAAUGUCAGGCGGGCAGUUUGACUGGGGCGGUCGCCUCCUAAAGAGUAACGGAGGCGCCCAAAGGUUUCCUCAACCCGGACAGAAAUCGGGUGAAAGAGUGCAAAGGCAGAAGGAAGCUUAACUGAAAGACAGACAUGUCGAGCAGAUACGAAAGUAGGGCUUAGUGAUCCGGUGGUAUGUGAGUGGAAAUGCCAUCGCUCAACGGACAAAAGUUACCCUGGGGAUAACAGGCUUAUCUCUCCCAAGAGUUCACAUCGACGGGGAGGUUUGGCACCUCGAUGUCGGCUCAUCGCAUCCUGGAGCUGAAGUCGGUUCCAAGGGUUGGGCUGUUCGCCCAUUAAAGCGGUACGCGAGCUGGGUUCAGAACGUCGUGAGACAGUUCGGUCCUUAUCUGUCGCAGGCGCAGGAUAUUUGAAGGGAGUUGUCCUUAGUACGAGAGGACCAGGAUGAACAUACCGAUGGUGCAACAGUUGUCACACCAGUGGCAUAGCUGUGUAGCUAAGUAUGGAAGGGAUAAACGCUGAAAGCAUCUAAGUGUGAAGCCCACCCUAAGAUAAGAUAUCCCACAACGUUAAGUUGGUAAGAUACCAGGAAGACUAACUGGUUGAUAGGUUGGAGGUGUAAGUGCAGUAAUGCAUUAAGCUGACCAAUACUAAUAUAUCGAGGGCUUAACCAU